AUCGCUUCUCGGCCAUCUGAGCUAAGCUAAUAUGUAGUACCUGUUUUUUGCAGUGCAAUUUCUGUAAUGGUCUUUGUUGAGACCAAUGAAAUUACCUGUAUUUUUCUAAGCCGGACGGGUGCUGUGAACUUGCCGAACCCCGUCCACGGGCGACCUCGCAUUGCAUUAUUUCGAGAAUUGGCUCACUCUUU
RNAcentral lists this small nuclear RNA (191 nucleotides) under Fasciola hepatica (liver fluke). Its description in RNAcentral is "U2 spliceosomal RNA". It matches the Rfam family "U2 spliceosomal RNA". From Rfam's summary of the family: U2 is a small nuclear RNA (snRNA) component of the spliceosome (involved in pre-mRNA splicing). Lineage: Eukaryota; Metazoa; Platyhelminthes; Trematoda; Plagiorchiida; Fasciolidae. The record is from Rfam by way of RNAcentral.